Zophobas morio is the source of this 274-nucleotide long non-coding RNA. RefSeq lists it as uncharacterized. The transcript has 3 exons. Lineage: Eukaryota; Metazoa; Arthropoda; Insecta; Coleoptera; Tenebrionidae. The record is from RefSeq and is a predicted model, not a curated record.
GCUCUUCCUGUUAAAGUAGCCAAUCUUUUGUUUGAGAGCUUAGUUUCCACAAUACAACUUUCUAACAAUCUACUAAGGCUUUUGCUGUCACAAAAUUUAAGGCUAACAGAAAUUAAAUGUAUGAGCAUUACUUCGCCUUGUAUAGAUUUGAAAAUUGUCGGUGAGUUCCAUGAGUUACGCCAUCUGCAGUUAUCUGGGCCUAAUACCGUGCUAAAAAACGUUACAUCUUUUUUUACGAAGAAACGUUGUUUUGAUACCCUUAUUCUAGUAAUUU